AGCAAUGAACCCAAUGCCAAAUUCAAUUGAUGAAAUAUACAAAUAGCGUCCAAGUUUGUUAGAAAGAGCAGGAAAACAGCGGGUAUGUUCCAAGCCUGCCCAAUAUUUUGUCGUAAAACAAGAAGACAGAAACAAACAACAUUAAUCAGCUGGGCUAGUCUGGUCGACAGACACUCUAACGUGCAUCAACCAACAUUAAACUCUUUUCUCAUUUCGUGUGCUG
This 223-nucleotide long non-coding RNA is filed under the name Gossypium barbadense (sea-island cotton). Its description in RNAcentral is "long non-coding RNA (GBAR_LNC001919)". Lineage: Eukaryota; Viridiplantae; Streptophyta; Magnoliopsida; Malvales; Malvaceae. The record is from RNAcentral.